GACUCACGUCGACUGGGUGUCCGC
RNAcentral lists this microRNA (24 nucleotides) under Apis mellifera (honey bee). Its description in RNAcentral is "ame-miR-3759-3p". The record is from miRBase by way of RNAcentral. Lineage: Eukaryota; Metazoa; Arthropoda; Insecta; Hymenoptera; Apidae.